UUGUAUCACCUCAUCAAGAAAGCAGUUGCCAUCAGGAAGCAUUUGGAGAGGAACAGGAAGGAUAAAGAUUCCAAAUUCAGGCUCAUUCUUGUGGAGAGCAGGAUUCACAGGCUUGCUCGCUACUACAAGAAGACCAAGAAGCUGCCACCUGUCUGGAAAUAGUAAGUCCAAAUAUUUUUUUUAUACAUCUUUCAUUGUAGUUGACUUCCACCUGUUUAUGAGUUUAAUUGAAUCCAUCAUGCAUUUUUGCCCUAUUUUUGACAUCCACCUUUUUAUGAGUCUAGCAAACAGUCACGUUGUCAUGAAACAGGGUUUGCUAUUGAUAGCAUUUGAUAACAACAUAUAUUCGUUUAUUUGUGUAUUAUAGCAUCCCACAUUCAUUUCUUUUUUCUAUACAGAAUUUAACUUAUAUAGGAUUGUACUUUGAUAUUUUCUUCUUAGACAUUAUAUUUGAAUCCAUACCCCUAAUUAUAGCAUUAGACUAGUAGGAAGAAAUAAAAGGAGAAUGCCAUAAUAAACAAAUGGGUGAAAGUAUGUUGCUAUUUCUUCCAUUGAUAAUCAGAUAUGAUUUAUGUACUAACACAACAUUAUUUGUUUAUGCAGCGAGUCCACCACAGCCAGCACUCUUGUGGCCUAGAGAAGAGAAGUGAAGGUUUAUUUUAUUUUUGUAAAAGUUGGAAGAAUGGAGUUUCUUAUUUCAAGUGGGUGUUUUCUAUUUUG
RNAcentral lists this long non-coding RNA (720 nucleotides) under Lactuca sativa (garden lettuce). RNAcentral's name for it is "long non-coding RNA (LSAT_LNC006992)". Lineage: Eukaryota; Viridiplantae; Streptophyta; Magnoliopsida; Asterales; Asteraceae. The record is from RNAcentral.